AUGUUAAUUAUUUCUGAAAUGUUUAUUAUUGAGCAGUUACAUUUCACUGCACUUCAUGAUGUUUAUGAAUCCAGAAUUCUUAAAGAACCUUUUCAGAUUUCUGGACGGAGUAAAUACUGCCCAGUUCUUGUGGCUCUGUUUAGUGACAGUGAUGAAGAUCCCCUGCCCUCGUCUGACCAUCAGUCCAUGGACACACCAAACACUUUUGAAGAGAAUCCCUGGUUUCCUCCUCACAGGUCAGAGAAUGUUGGAGGAAUGGCCAGGGCCUCUGAAACUGACCCCCAACCCAGGAUGAAGACCCAGCAAAGCAAUGUAAAAGGGAAAAGCAGGAGCUCUUUCUUUCAGUGGGUCUUUCAGUCGGCACUACAAGCUCUCCUGAUGAUCUUCACUCUGUGCUACAGCUCCUCACAGCCUCACAGAGGUGAAGCUGAUAGUGAUGAAGUUUGGAGCAGAGAAGAAUCCAACAGGAACCACAGCCCCGGGUAGAGAGAGACAGAGACAGAGACAGAGAGAGAGAGAGAGAACAGGGGAGUAGCAUUAUUCCUCCCUCACCCUCGAGUGCUCACAGUGGUGAUUAAACUGAGAGGAUUCACAGUUUAAUAGACAGAAUGCUGUGAUUUGAGGGAGAACAGAAGAGCUGGUUCUGUUUCCACGUGGAUCUGCUAAGAGAAACUUCUUUAAAACGUGUGGAGCUUCAGAAGCUUUUCAUUCAUUUCCUAUAUAAUCACAGAACUGAUAUACAUGUAAAUCUCCUGUACUGGAGGACUUUGCUUUUCUGGUGGACGUUAAAAUUAUUUUUCCAUCAAAUAUUAAAAUCAGUCACUCAUACCAGCAGUCAGACUGGUCUACCAGUAACCAGUGAGUGAUGCUCAGUGUUGAAGAAUUUGAUGAUUAUUGAUGUCCUACACCAUCUACCAUCUGUAGCAGACCAUCAGCCCCAUAGCAAAUAGAUUAGUUUGUGAAAUUCUGACAUUAAUGUGAAGUUUUCACUAAAACUACAAACAAAUAAAUUUAGAACAGGAAUCUUCCUCAAUGUGGAGGUACAGUUGGAGGUAUAAGAAUUGAGUGUGGAGGGAAAGUCUACAGUAAAGUACAGUUGGGGGUAUAAACAGUGGAUGUGGAUGAAAAGUCUACAGUAAAGUACAGUUGGAGGUAUAAACAGUGGAUGUGGAGGGAAAGUCUACAGUAAAGUACAGUUGGAGGUAUAAACAGUGGACGUGGAUGAAAAGUCUACAGUAAAGUACAGUUGGAGGUAUAAGAAGUGGGUGUGGAUGAAAAGUCUACAGUAAAGUACAGUUGGGGGUAUAAGAAGUGGAUGUGGAGGGAAAGUCUACAGGAAAGUACAGUUGGGGGUAUAAGAAGUGGAUGUGGAGGGAAAGUCUACAGUAAAGUACAGUUGGAGGUAUAAACAGUGGAUGUGGAGGGAAAGUCUACAGUAAAGUACAGUUGGAGGUAUAAACAGUGGAUGUGGAUGAAAAGUCUACAGUAAAGUACAGUUGGGGGUAUAAACAGUGGAUGUGGAGGGAAAGUCUACAGUAAAGUACAGUUGGAGGUAUAAGAAGUGGGUGUGGAUGAAAAGUCUACAGUAAAGUACAGUUGGGGGUAUAAGAAGUGGAUGUGGAGGGAAAGUCUACAGGAAAGUACAGUUGGGGGUAUAAGAAGUGGAUGUGGAGGGAAAGUCUACAGUAAAGUACAGUUGGAGGUAUAAACAGUGGAUGUGGAGGGAAAGUCUACAGUAAAGUACAGUUGGAGGUAUAAACAGUGGAUGUGGAUGAAAAGUCUACAGUAAAGUACAGUUGGAGGUAUAAACAGUGGAUGUGGAGGGAAAGUCUACAGUAAAGUACAGUUGGGGGUAUAAGAAGUGGGUGUGGAUGAAAAGUCUACAGUAAAGUACAGUUGGGGGUAUAAACAGUGGAUGUGGAUGAAAAGUCUACAGUAAAGUACAGUUGGGGGUAUAAACAGUGGAUGUGAAUGAAAAGUCUACAGUAAAGUACAGUUGGAG
Pygocentrus nattereri (red-bellied piranha) is the source of this 2002-nucleotide long non-coding RNA. The record is from Ensembl. Lineage: Eukaryota; Metazoa; Chordata; Actinopteri; Characiformes; Serrasalmidae.